Molecule: long non-coding RNA, 1434 nt
Organism: Lutzomyia longipalpis
Lineage: Eukaryota; Metazoa; Arthropoda; Insecta; Diptera; Psychodidae
Exons: 3
Source: RefSeq, a predicted model, not a curated record
AAAGAGUUGUCCUAUUAUUGUAGACAUGUCUAUGGACAUGUCUAACAGCAAUCCAAUGUGAUCUUUUUUCAGCGAACAUAUCCAAUGAAAGUCCAAAGGAUUAUCAUUGGACAUUCGUUUGGGAUAUGUCCAAUUACAGUCUUAUAUCUAGUCUAAUGAUUUUUCUUGGGACGUGUCCUUCACUUGUCCUAUAUGAGUCCAAUUUCCGUUUCCAUUGAACGUUUCCAAUGCCAGUCCAAUGGAUUAUCAUUGGACAUUCGAUUGUGAUAUGUCUAACAGUAGUCUAAUGUUUAAUCCUACGAUUUAUGUUAGGACACCAUAAUCAGACGUCCAAUGCUACUCCAAGGUAAUUUCAUAGGACAUUCUAAUUGAACGUUUCCAAUGCCAGUCCAAUGGAUUAUCAUUGGACAUUCGAUUGUGAUAUGUCUAACAGUAGUUUAAUGUUUAAUCCUACGAUUUAUGUUAGGACACCAUAAUCAAACGUCCAAUGCUAGUCGAAGGAAAAUUUAUAGGACAUUCUAAUUGGACAUAUCCAAUGCCAGUCCAUUGGUUUAUUAUUGGACAUUUGUUUGAGAUAUGUCCAACGAUGGUCGAACGUUUAAUCUUACGAUUUAUCUUAGCACAUCUAAUUCAAACGUCCUAUGCUAGUCCAAAGGAAUUUCAGAGGAAAGUUUACGUUAGACGUAUCCAAUGCCAGUCCAUUAGUUCAUCAUUGAACAUUCGAUUGGGAUAUAUCCCACGAUUGUAUAAUAUCUUGUACUACGAUAUCUCUUAAGACGUCUAAUUCAGACGUCCAAAGCUAAUCCAAAGGAAUAUCAUAGGACGUUAAAAUUUCAUAUAUCUAAUGCCAGUCCAACUAUUUUCAUUGGACUUUCGACAUAUGCUUCCAUCGAUAUGUCUUACGUUUGUUCAAAUGUCUUUGUUCUGUGAAGAGUGCGUGUGUAGCAGCGUUGGAAAAUGGAAAAAUGGGAAAAAUAUCCGGAAAAAUAGCAAAGUAAGUACAUUAUACACUAAUUAGGAUAUAGUUAAACGAUGUGUAUAAGAAAUUAAGUUGCAAUUUAUAUAAUUGUACGCGAAAAUAGAAAUUUUCUUUUUUACAGGUUACGUGUUUCGACAAGUCCAGCUACAUGUUCCCGGCGUUCCCGGACAACUAUCUUACGGAUACUCCCACGUUACAAAAGCUCGCCAAAGAGAACUAUCAGCAUUUAUGACGAAGGGAAUGGAGAAAAGAAAAGACCGUGCCUUGGAAAACAGAAGUAGGAGAGCAUCCCGUGUCUUGGAAAACAGAAAUUGCAGAGCAUCCCGUGUCUUGGAAUACAGGAGUUGCAGAACAUCUCAAAGACCCAGGACGUCAGAGUUCAACCGCCGAAGGACAAAGUAUCAUACAUGUAAGAUUUAUAUAUAUAAUUUUUAAAUAAAAAAAUAAAAAAUUAA